Molecule: ribosomal RNA, 413 nt
Filed under: Streptococcus pneumoniae
Lineage: Bacteria; Bacillati; Bacillota; Bacilli; Lactobacillales; Streptococcaceae
Description: partial 23S ribosomal RNA
Rfam family: Bacterial large subunit ribosomal RNA
Source: RNAcentral
GUUUACCCCUGAAGGUUGAACCGGUCGAAGAUACCAGCUGGCUGCAACUGUUUAUUAAAAACACAGCACUCUGCAAACACGAAAGUGGACGUAUAGGGUGUGAUGCCUGCCCGGUGCUGGAAGGUUAAUUGAUGGUGUAAUCGAAAGAGAAGCUCCUGAUCGAAGCCCCAGUAAACGGCGGCCGUAACUAUAACGGUCCUAAGGUAGCGAAAUUCCUUGUCGGGUAAGUUCCGACCUGCACGAAUGGCAUAAUGAUGGCCAGGCUGUCUCCACCCGAGACUCAGUGAAAUUGAAAUCGCCGUGAAGAUGCGGUGUACCCGCGGCUAGACGGAAAGACCCCGUGAACCUUUACUAUAGCUUGACACUGAACAUUGAAUUUUGAUGUGUAGGAUAGGUGGGAGACUUUGAAGUAG